AUGCCUGAUCCAGAAUUUAAAGCAACAAUCAUAGGGAUACUCACUAGACUUGAGAAAUGAAUGGAAGACAUCAGUAAGACCCUUACCACAGAGAUAAAAUAGUUAACAAGGAGCCAAUCAGAAAUGAAGAAUGC
This is a long non-coding RNA of Lynx canadensis (Canada lynx), 134 nucleotides long. RefSeq lists it as uncharacterized. The record is from RefSeq and is a predicted model, not a curated record. The transcript is spliced from 3 exons. Lineage: Eukaryota; Metazoa; Chordata; Mammalia; Carnivora; Felidae.